This 253-nucleotide ribosomal RNA is filed under the name uncultured bacterium. RNAcentral describes it as "partial 16S ribosomal RNA". It matches the Rfam family "Bacterial small subunit ribosomal RNA", at positions 524 to 776 of the family's 1533-position model. The record is from RNAcentral.
UACGUAGGGGGCAAGCGUUGUCCGGAAUCAUUGGGCGUAAAGAGCGCGUAGGCGGCCCAGUAAGUCCGCUCUGAAAGUCAGGGGCUCAACCCCUGAAUGCGGGUGGAUACUGCUGGGCUAGAGUCCGGAAGAGGCGAGUGGAAUUCCUGGUGUAGCGGUGAAAUGCGCAGAUAUCAGGAGGAACACCGAUGGCGAAGGCAGCUCGCUGGGACGGUACUGACGCUGAGGAGCGAAAGCGUGGGGAGCGAACAGG